RNAcentral lists this microRNA precursor (81 nucleotides) under Medicago truncatula (barrel medic). The record is from RNAcentral. Lineage: Eukaryota; Viridiplantae; Streptophyta; Magnoliopsida; Fabales; Fabaceae.
CAAAUCCUAUAGGCAUUUGCUAGAAUACACCCACUUAUUUUUUAGAAGGAGUAUUUUAGCAAGUGAAUAUAUAUAUAUAUA